RNAcentral lists this ribosomal RNA (484 nucleotides) under uncultured bacterium. Its description in RNAcentral is "partial 16S ribosomal RNA". It matches the Rfam family "Bacterial small subunit ribosomal RNA", at positions 29 to 507 of the family's 1533-position model. The record is from RNAcentral.
AUUGAACGCUGGCGGCAUGCUUUACACAUGCAAGUCGAACGGCAGCGCGGGCUUCGGCCUGGCGGCGAGUGGCGAACGGGUGAGUAAUGCAUCGGAACGUGCCCAGUAGUGGGGGAUAGCCCGGCGAAAGCCGGAUUAAUACCGCAUACGACCUGAGGGUGAAAGCGGGGGACCGAAAGACCUCGCGCUAUUGGAGCGGCCGAUGUCGGAUUAGCUAGUUGGUGGGGUAAAGGCUUACCAAGGCGACGAUCCGUAGCUGGUCUGAGAGGACGACCAGCCACACUGGGACUGAGACACGGCCCAGACUCCUACGGGAGGCAGCAGUGGGGAAUUUUGGACAAUGGGGGCAACCCUGAUCCAGCCAUGCCGCGUGCGGGAAGAAGGCCUUCGGGUUGUAAACCGCUUUUGUGCGGGAAGAAAUCCUCUGGGCUAAUACCCCGGGGGGAUGACGGUACCGGAAGAAUAAGCACCGGCUAACUACGUG